Molecule: ribosomal RNA, 260 nt
Filed under: uncultured bacterium
Lineage: Bacteria
Description: partial 16S ribosomal RNA
Rfam family: Bacterial small subunit ribosomal RNA
Source: RNAcentral
CUAGGCCUACGGGGGGCAGCAGUGAGGAAUAUUGGUCAAUGGGCGCAAGCCUGAACCAGCCAAGUCGCGUGAGGGAUGACGGUCCUAUGGAUUGUAAACCUCUUUUGUCGGGGAGCAAGGCCCGCCACGUGUGGCGGGAAGGAGAGUACCCGAAGAAAAAGCAUCGGCUAACUCCGUGCCAGCAGCCGCGGGAAUACGGAGGAUGCGAGCGUUAUCCGGGUUUAUUGGGUUUAAAGGGUGCGUAGGCGGAAGGUUAAGGC